UAGGCCUCAAAUAAUGUGUGGCU
Molecule: ribosomal RNA, 23 nt
Filed under: Culex erraticus
Lineage: Eukaryota; Metazoa; Arthropoda; Insecta; Diptera; Culicidae
Description: partial 28S ribosomal RNA
Source: RNAcentral